CGGGUGAGUAACACGUGGGCAAUCUGCCCUUCACUCUGGGACAAGCCCUGGAAACGGGGUCUAAUACCGGAUAACACUCUGUCCCGCAUGGGACGGGGUUAAAAGCUCCGGCGGUGAAGGAUGAGCCCGCGGCCUAUCAGCUUGUUGGUGGGGUAAUGGCCUACCAAGGCGACGACGGGUAGCCGGCCUGAGAGGGCGACCGGCCACACUGGGACUGAGACACGGCCCAGACUCAUACGGGAGGCAGCAGUGGGGAAUAUUGCACAAUGGGCGAAAGCCUGAUGCAGCGACGCCGCGUGAGGGAUGACGGCCUUCGGGUUGUAAACCUCUUUCAGCAGGGAAGAAGCGAAAGUGACGGUACCUGCAGAAGAAGCGCCGGCUAACUACGUGCCAGCAGCCGCGGUAAUACGUAGGGCGCAAGCGUUGUCCGGAAUUAUUGGGCGUAAAGAGCUCGUAGGCGGCUUGUCACGUCGGAUGUGAAAGCCCGGGCUUAACCCCGGGUCUGCAUUCGAUACGGGCUAGCUAGAGUGUGGUAGGAGAGAUCGGAAUUCCUGGUGUAGCGGUGAAAUGCGCAGAUAUCAGGAGAACACCGGGGCGAAGGCGGACCUCUGGGCCAUUACUGACGCUGAGGAGCGAAAGCGUGGGGAGCGACAAGAAUUAGAUACCCUGGUAGUCCACGCCGUAAACGUUGGGAACUAGGUGGUUGCGACAUUCCACGUCGUCGGUGCCGCAGCUAACGCAUUAGUUCCCCGCUGGGGAGUACGGCCGCAAGGCUAAAACUCAAGGAAUUGACGGGGCCCCGCACAGCAGCGGAGCAUGUGUGCUUAAUU
RNAcentral lists this ribosomal RNA (830 nucleotides) under Streptomyces anulatus. RNAcentral describes it as "bacterial SSU rRNA". It matches the Rfam family "Bacterial small subunit ribosomal RNA", at positions 103 to 951 of the family's 1533-position model. The record is from RNAcentral. Lineage: Bacteria; Bacillati; Actinomycetota; Actinomycetes; Kitasatosporales; Streptomycetaceae.